Long non-coding RNA from Hyalella azteca, 272 nucleotides. RefSeq lists it as uncharacterized. The record is from RefSeq and is a predicted model, not a curated record. The transcript is spliced from 2 exons. Lineage: Eukaryota; Metazoa; Arthropoda; Malacostraca; Amphipoda; Hyalellidae.
GGAACGCAACUGCAUCCAGCGACUCCUGAACAAUGGCCUCCUUCUUCAACCUUAGCCUGAUUGCCUUGGUGGUGAUGAUGAUGGCUGUUGGCGCCAUCGCAGAACCAGAACCUUUCCCUGCCCCUGGCAAGGGUAAGGGAAAAGGCAAAGGAUAGGGUAAAGGACACUAAAGAAACUACCGACUCUUCUGCGUCAAAUUAUGCCACUGGUGAUUAAAAUGGUAUUUUAAUUAUUUAUUGCCGAAAAUUUUUAAUAAAUCACUUCAACCAAAA